GGUGGCGUGGCCGAGCGGUUGAAGGCACCGGUCUUGAAAACCGGCAAUCGGAAACGAUUCGUGGGUUCGAAUCCCACCGCCACCU
This 85-nucleotide transfer RNA is filed under the name Deltaproteobacteria bacterium. RNAcentral describes it as "tRNA-Ser". It matches the Rfam family "tRNA". Rfam says of the family: Transfer RNA (tRNA) molecules are approximately 80 nucleotides in length. Their secondary structure includes four short double-helical elements and three loops (D, anti-codon, and T loops). Further hydrogen bonds mediate the characteristic L-shaped molecular structure. tRNAs have two regions of fundamental functional importance: the anti-codon, which is responsible for specific mRNA codon recognition, and the 3' end, to which the tRNAs corresponding amino acid is attached (by aminoacyl-tRNA synthetases). tRNAs cope with the degeneracy of the genetic code in two manners: having more than one tRNA (with a specific anti-codon) for a particular amino acid; and 'wobble' base-pairing, i.e. permitting non-standard base-pairing at the 3rd anti-codon position. Lineage: Bacteria; Pseudomonadati; Myxococcota; Myxococcia. The record is from RNAcentral.